UGUUAACUGACCCGACACCUAUCUGGGCUGGAUGCGGGCAGCAUGUGGGCAGACUGGGCACGAACAAACUGGGCACACCCAUCCGGGGCCCACGUGGGGCCCAGAUGGGCAAACCCCAGCCAGCAUGCCCAUGUGGGCCCCACACGGGCAGUUGAUGGGCAUGGUGGGCUAGGUGGGCCAUGGGCUAGAGAUGGGCAAAUAUGUGGGCUGCAUGUGGGCCCCACAUGGGCUGCCCACAUAUUUUUUGGCAGGCAUAAUGCUUGAUAAUGAGAUUGCUUGCACAUGUACGAGGGCAUAUCCAGGAAUUUUGGUGAACACAGGCAUUCACGCGGUGUUCCUGUAUGGUGGGCUUAACAUGGGCACUGCGUGGGCAGCCCAUGUAGUGGGGUGUAGGUGGGCUGGAUGUGGGCAGCCCAUUAUUUAUUUUUUCACUGUCCAAUGUGUAUGAUAUUACAAGAAAAAAGAACUCGCUGUUUAGUCUCAUGCCUCCAAAAUACACUUCGACGUCGUGAGGAAGUCGCAUAGUUGAUGUUUGUGAGACCAGCUACGGCUGAUAUUGGACAGUCAAUGUUGUGAUUGUGUCGUAUGAUUGUGUCGCCUGAGCCCGCCCCUGCGCGGGCGACCCGCCGGCGGAGCUCGGCCCACCGGACGGGGCCUGGGGCCGCCUCUGCACCGCCCGGGGCGGUGACCGGCCGACCGGCUGGCGGGGCUGCGGCGUCUGGGCGGGCCAGUUGGCGUUGAGACUCUGAGUGGUGUGCGUGUCCAAUAAAGCCUUAAUUCGGGCGGAACCGACACAUGGCGCGGUCGGUAUUAGCUCGAACCCGCCCAUAGUGAGUACAAAGUGCAAUGAACGAAAGUGAAAGGAAGCAGGAAUGCGUAGCCGUGGCGGCCGCGCCGCAACCACGACCGCGUUCGAGUCUCUUCGGAGAGGCGCGCCCGCAGCGACGCCAGAUGUAUCGCUAGUUGGUCGAGUCGCCGCUGUGACAUCAGGACGUAGUCGUCCCAUCUCUCCUUCCAGAGGUAGAAGGCGUCACUGCGGUCGGUGGAGAUGUCCAGUCGGUCAGGCCGGAUCGGCUGCAGGCUCGUCAUACCACAGCGAUUACGAAGGACUGUUCUAGAAGCCCUCCACGCCAGCCACCUGGGGAAGGAGAAGACGAAAGCCCGCGCAAGACAGAUCGUCUACUGGCCCGGGAUCUACCGGGAUGUGGAAAAUGUCACCCGCUGCUGUACCAGCUGCCAGAGAGAUCUACCCGCUCAGCAGCAAGAGACCAUGAUGAGGAGACCGCCAGCGGAAAGGCCGUUCGAACUACACAUCGACUUUGCCGAUCACGCCGGCAGGAAGUACCUCGUGGCAGUGGACAGAUACUCCGGGUGGCUGUUUGUCGCCGACCUCGGUGUAAGCGCCCCCGCUUACACCGGUCGGAAGGACGAUAGCAGGCGUCAUGACGAGCGCACUCGCUACGCGACUAAGCGUAAAUGGACGGCACGGGAAAAGGGCUUUCGGCGGUACCCGGCUUUUUGAUGUCGUGUUCAGAGCCGUGCGGCGGAACGGGCUUACCCAGGACACCAACAACGGCCAGCUGGAGGUGGCGCCACGAAAGUGGUUUACGGGUGCCAGGAACCGCGACGGAGGCCGCCAGGAGAGGAGACCAGCUGGAGUUUAAGCGGAGGAGCAGAUGAGAGAAGAAGUCUAGAGAUGAGCAGAAGAGAGCAGAGAGUUUAAACAGCAUUUUUGUGUUUAUCGAUAAUAUAAAUAUUGAUCACUGA
This 1767-nucleotide long non-coding RNA is filed under the name Amphibalanus amphitrite. RNAcentral describes it as "uncharacterized LOC122389358". The record is from RNAcentral. Lineage: Eukaryota; Metazoa; Arthropoda; Thecostraca; Balanomorpha; Balanidae.